CUCGGCGGAUCAGCCCGCUCCCGGUAAAACGGGACGGCCCGCCAGAGGACCCCUAAAAUCUGUUUCUAUAUGUAACUUCUGAGUAAAACCAUAAAUAAAUCAAAACUUUCAACAACGGAUCUCUUGGUUCUGGCAUCGAUGAAGAACGCAGCAAAAUGCGAUAAGUAAUGUGAAUUGCAGAAUUCAGUGAAUCAUCGAAUCUUUGAACGCACAUUGCGCCCGCCAGUAUUCUGGCGGGCAUGCCUGUUCGAGCGUCAUUUCAACCCUCAAGCACAGCUUGGUGUUGGGACUCGCGUUAAUUCGCGUUCCCCAAAUUGAUUGGCGGUCACGUCGAGCUUCCAUAGCGUAGUAGUAAAACCCUCGUUACUUGGUAAUCGUCGCGGCCACGCCGUUAAACCCCAACUUCUGAAUGUGACCUCGGAUCAGGUAGAAUCCCAGCCC
RNAcentral lists this ribosomal RNA (441 nucleotides) under Fusarium oxysporum. Its description in RNAcentral is "eukaryotic LSU rRNA". The stretch from base 104 to 257 matches the Rfam family "5.8S ribosomal RNA". The record is from RNAcentral. Lineage: Eukaryota; Fungi; Ascomycota; Sordariomycetes; Hypocreales; Nectriaceae.